AUGGAAUUAGGCUAUGUUGAUUCUAGUAUGGAAAAUGAAGACGACUUGGCAAGAGUUUUUAGUGCUUGUCCAUUGCCCUCCUCUGGUUUUCAGUUCUCUAACUGUACACAGCUUUCAGAAGAAAAUUUCAACACAAAACUAAUGGGCAAUGUUUGGGAACAGAUCUAUGAAAAAAAGCUGCAAAACCAGCCAGGUAACAGCUUUGAUCGAGACCCUUGGAAUACAAACCCUCCAAGCCAGUGUAUUUUGAGGAAGUCUGAUACAGUGCCUCAGGAGCUGUUCAAGCCAUUUGAUAACUCAUUGCCUACCCCCAGGCCAGACUACAUGAAUUCUGCCAGGAAAAAUCCAGUGAUAAUAGCCAGUAAUGAAUCAGAAAACUAUGAAGGAAUAAAAGAACCAAUAUUUGAUGUUGUGAAAGAAACUGCAGGAUUGAAAGAUGGAAGUGGUUGUUCCUUUCUGGCACUAUUUGAAGAAGAGAGUCAACCAAUCCAUAAUAAUUCUUCCACCAAGCAUUUUAAUUUUUUUUCUAACCAAAGGAAUAAUGACCUUUUUUUCACUGUUCCUGAUGUUCGAAAUCAAAUUACCAACAGAAAUUAUUCUUGCAACACUAGAAGGGUUUAUCCUGGAAUCAAUGCAAAAGAAGAUUCUGUAGACAGACACCUUGAAGGCAUUUUCACAGCUCCAGAACAGGUUUUCCUUAAAAGUAAUAAUGUGUCAAGUACAAGCUACAAGGAAACAAGUGCACUUCAUAAAACACACCGGCAGAACUGUCAUGAGGGACAGCACUACUUCGUGCCCUGUGAACAGAGAGAAAGAAGAGCAAACCUUGAAAAAAUUGAGACAUUUGCUUAUUACCAUGAUCAGCAGAAUAUCUUAAAGGAGAAUGUGCAGAAUUAUUCAAGAAAAAAAAGUGACGACAAGUCUGUGAAGGAAACAUCCUGGAACCAGAACCAUGUCUUUGUAUUUGAAGAGUUCACAACAGCACAAGAGAAAGGGUAUAAGUUUGGACUGAGUUCAUAUCUUCAAGAGAUGGAUGUGGACUCACCACUCAGCAGCCAGUCUUACAGUUACUCUCCAAGGCAGACUGAGAGCUGUUUGAGCUCUAGUCCUGACACAUCUGAAGAGGAAGACACAGCCAAAAAGAAGAAUUAUCUGAAUGAACAGUCCUUGAAGGCACGUGGUGCCAACCUGCUCUCAGCCUCAGUGAGCAGAGAGGCCCCCAAGAGCUCUCACACCCAAGGUGUGGGUAUGAAGCCCAGCAGCACUUUGGCUAGAAAAGAAGCAAACAAUCUUCAGGAGAAAGACUCUGAUUUUUGUGCCACAGAGGAGGAAAAUAAAACCCACGCAGCUCUGUCUCAGGGCCCAUCCCAGCACGCCCUUAGGAGGGAGCAUGUCGGUAGCAGCACCAGGUGCGAUGUGUGGUCGCAGACCGAGGGCUCUGUGACCGUAGAGAAGGUGGAUGUGGGCACCCAGUGCGGCACGCUGAGGGUGUGCGGCUGUGGGGGAUCGCUCCCCGCUGCCCGCAGCCCGGGCGGGGUCCCCGCUCCCGGCACUGCCGGAGAGCAGCAAUGGCCGGCGCGGGAGGGGCGGCAGCCCGCGGGCAGCGGCAGCGCCGCCGGGACAGGCGCCUUCUCUGCCGAGACCGAGUACCUGACUCUGGCUGGCAGCAGGACUCUAGAGGUGCUGGACUACAUUGAUAAAAUGAAGGGGGGAGAGAAGCAGUGAUCGACUGUAAUGGCACGUUAGGAACACGGUAGUUUUGUCCUGUUCUCAGUGUGUUUCAUUCAGUUGGCAUAUUCUGGUUUUUCUAGCAUGGGUAGGCAAAAGAUACUUUUACUGUUUGUUUGCUUUAACUAUCAAUAAUUAUGGGCUUCUGUCUACCUACUGCUAUCUCAAAGUAUGAGUUUCUAUAAAUAUCCAACUAUUAACAAAGUGUGUUACAAUAACCUAGUAAAUAAAAACAUUGGGAAUUAUAUUGUUUUCCCUGCC
Molecule: long non-coding RNA, 1989 nt
Filed under: Zonotrichia albicollis (white-throated sparrow)
Lineage: Eukaryota; Metazoa; Chordata; Aves; Passeriformes; Passerellidae
Description: lncRNA (ENSZALG00000005415.1)
Source: RNAcentral